RNAcentral lists this ribosomal RNA (261 nucleotides) under uncultured bacterium. RNAcentral describes it as "partial 16S ribosomal RNA". It matches the Rfam family "Bacterial small subunit ribosomal RNA", at positions 523 to 776 of the family's 1533-position model. The record is from RNAcentral.
GAGCGUAGGGCGCGAGCGUUUGUCCGGAUUUAUUGGGCGUAAAGAGCCUCGUAGGCGGCUUGUUGCGGUCAGCUGUGAAAACCCGCAGCUCAACUGUGGGCUUGCAGCUGAUAGCGGGCAGGCUUGAGUUCGGUAGGGGAGACUGGAAAUUCCUGGUGUAGCGGUGAAAUGCGCAGAUAUCAGGAGGAACACCGGUGGCGAAGGCGGGUCUCUGGGCCGAUACUGACGCUGGAGGAGCGAAAGCGUCGGGGAGCGAACAGG